Long non-coding RNA from Oryctolagus cuniculus (rabbit), 502 nucleotides. RefSeq lists it as uncharacterized. Lineage: Eukaryota; Metazoa; Chordata; Mammalia; Lagomorpha; Leporidae. The record is from RefSeq and is a predicted model, not a curated record.
CCAGCGGGGUGACCCGGGCCGGCUCCUAAUGGGAGCUGCAGGCUCUGCGCCCCAGGAAGCGCGGCCGUGGGUCCUGCACCCACCCGCAGAGCUGAAUCAUCUCAGCUGGGGCGAGCCCCGGAUCCUCCCGUGGAGAGCAGGUGGCAGGGGCGUCCACCGAGCGCCCCAAGCACCUUCCUCGGGAUCGCGGCGCUCAGCUCUGAAUUUCUGUCAUCAGGGACGCACCGAAGCCAAGGGUCCAGCUGCGGGCACAGCGGCCGAGGUGACUGUCGGGGCACUCGAAUCCCAUUUCGGGGUGUCUGGGUUGGAGCCCCUGACUCCAGCUUCCUGCCAGUCAGACCCUGGGAAGCAGCAGGCGAUGGCUCACGGACUUGGGUCCCUGCUGCCCACGGGAGACCCGGAUGGAGAUCCUGGCUCCUGCUUUCAGCUCGACUCAGCCUGGCUGUCACAGAUAUUGGUUGGGAGGUCUCUCUCCGUCUCAAAAUAAAUAAAUAUUAAAAUG